AAUUAGAAUCUCAGAAAGUGUGUGUGUUUGGUGGCUGAGAAAAUGGCAACAAUUUCUCACAACUUUCUAGUUCAAUCUGACACGGGAUCUUUCUCCACUGUGAUUCUCUCCCCUUCUUAUUUUCCUUCUUCUCCAAUUUUCCGCCAAUUCGCCCGUUUCCCUCGCAUUUCCACUUCGCCUUUUCCUCUGAAAAUCGCAUGCCGCGCCUCUUCCGUUGAACCAUCUUCCGUCACCGCAAAAACUGAGGUGAAGGAUUUUCUUCACAUAAAUGAUUUCGACAAGGACACUAUCACGAAGAUCUUAAAUCGGGCCAUUGAAGUGAAGGCACAGAUAAAAUCAGGGGACAGGACAUUUAAACCAUUUCAAGGGAUGACAUUGGCGAUGGUGUUUGCAAAGCCAUCAUUGAGAACUCAUGUUUCAUUUGAGACUGGCUUUUCAUUGUUAGGUGGUCAUGCUGUGUAUUUAGCACCUGAAGAUAUCCAAAUGGGCACCAGAGAGGAGACUCGUGAUGUUGCUCGCAUUUUGUCUCGCUUCACUGACAUUAUUAUGGCUCGUGUUUUCACACAUGAGGACAUACUCACUCUUUCAAAGCAUGCAACUGUGCCAGUCAUCAAUGGAUUGACAGACUACAACCAUCCCUGCCAGAUAAUGGCUGAUGCCAUCACUCUAAUUGAGCACCUUGGUCGGGUGGAAGGCAACAAGGUUGCAUAUGUUGGAGAUGGAAAUAAUGUUGUCCACUCAUGGUUGGAGUUGGCAAGUUUAUUCCCUAUUCACUUUGUUUGUGCGAGUCCAAAGGGUUUUGAGCCUGAUGCCAAAACAGUGGAGAAGGCACGCCAGGUUGGAAUCAGCAAGAUUGAGAUAACUAAUGAUCCCAGAGAAGCUGUCAAAGGAGCUGACAUUGUUUAUACGGAUGUUUGGGCUAGCAUGGGGCAAAAGGAAGAGGCUGAGAAGCGCCGUGAAGCCUUCAAAGGAUUUCAGGUGGACCAAAGUCUUAUGGAUAUAGCUGGGUCAAAAGCACUUUUCAUGCAUUGUUUACCAGCAGAAAAAGGAGUGGAGGUGACUGAGGAAGUUAUUGAAGGUCCAAAGUCAAUCAUCUUCCCGCAAGCUGAGAAUCGAUUACAUGCACAGAAUGGCAUAAUGCUCCAUGUCCUUGGCAAGUAAGCAUUGUGGGCGAUCGAUCAUCUUGGCAGAGAAGAAUAAAACCCUUGUUUGUUUGGUUUUACUUUUUUAGCUACACUAUCAGUUGUUAUUUGUGGGAUCACCUGUCAAGCAUGUUUUGGGAUCAUGUCUUCAGAUUGGGUCUGUAUCAGUCUGAGUUUCAUUAAUAAACUAAUUGGACGUGCCAGAAGAUUUAUUCUCAUGUGGUGAGAUUUAUUAUUUACCAAAAAGAGAUGAGAAGUAAUAAUCUUGCCCCUACAAUCACACAUAAAUGACUAAAAAUAAUUCAUCUUACAGAAAGUUGGGCAAUUUAGAAAUUCAGUCAUGGAAGUUUGUUUACUAUGUGAAAUUGAUGAUUCAGAUUCA
Lotus japonicus is the source of this 1524-nucleotide RNA transcript. It is a transcript of the gene named ornithine carbamoyltransferase, chloroplastic-like, with no coding region annotated. The transcript is spliced from 5 exons. The record is from RefSeq and is a predicted model, not a curated record. NCBI's taxonomy places the organism in Eukaryota, Viridiplantae, Streptophyta, Magnoliopsida, Fabales, Fabaceae.